Molecule: ribosomal RNA, 2087 nt
Filed under: Yoonia tamlensis
Lineage: Bacteria; Pseudomonadati; Pseudomonadota; Alphaproteobacteria; Rhodobacterales; Paracoccaceae
Description: bacterial LSU rRNA
Rfam family: Bacterial large subunit ribosomal RNA
Source: RNAcentral
AAAUCAAGCGCGAAAAGGGCGUUUGGUGGAUGCCUUGGCAGUAAGAGGCGAUGAAAGACGUGAUACUCUGCGAUAAGCCAUGGGGAGCUGAGAAUAAGCUUUGAUCCAUGGAUUUCUGAAUGGGGCAACCCACCUGAUACUUUGUUGUUAUUGCUCGCAAGGGCAGCUAACAGCGGGGUAAAACAGGUAUUUGUAGACUGAAUACAUAGGUUUACAAAAGCAAACCCGGGGAACUGAAACAUCUAAGUACCCGGAGGAAAGGAAAUCAAUAGAUACUCCCCUAGUAGCGGCGAGCGAACGGGGACCAGCCGAGCCAUGAGAGUGAAUAGAAUAUCCUGGAAAGGAUAACCAUAGUGGGUGACAGUCCCGUAUAUGAAGCUCAAUUGGACGUAUUAAGUAGGGCGGAACACGUGAAAUUCUGUCUGAACAUCGGAGGACCACCUUCGAAGGCUAAGUACUCCUUACUGACCGAUAGCGAACCAGUACCGUGAGGGAAAGGUGAAAAGCACCCCGACGAGGGGAGUGAAACAGUACCUGAAACCGAACGCCUACAAUCAGUUGGAGGGCCCUUGAGGCCUGACAGCGUACCUUUUGUAUAAUGGGUCAUCGACUUGGUCUACCGAGCAAGCUUAAGCCGUUAGGUGUAGGCGCAGCGAAAGCGAGUCUUAAUAGGGCGCAUGAGUUCGGUGGAUCAGACCCGAAACCGAGUGAUCUAGGCAUGUCCAGGAUGAAGGCAAGGUAACACUUGCUGGAGGUCCGAACCCACACCUGUUGAAAAAGGUCGGGAUGAGGUGUGCCUAGGGGUGAAAGGCCAAUCAAACUCGGAGAUAGCUGGUUCUCUGCGAAAUCUAUUUAGGUAGAGCGUCGGACGAAUACCCUCGGGGGUAGAGCACUGAAUGGGUAAUGGGGGCCCACAGCCUUACUGAUCCUAAUCAAACUCCGAAUACCGAGGAGUAAUAUCCGGCAGACACACCACGGGUGCUAACGUCCGUGGUGGAGAGGGAAACAACCCUGACCUACGACUAAGGCCCCUAAUUCAUGGCUAAGUGGGAAAGCAGGUGGGACGACCAAAACAACCAGGAGGUUGGCUUAGAAGCAGCCAUCCUUUAAAGAUAGCGUAACAGCUCACUGGUCUAAAUAAGUUGUCCUGCGGCGAAGAUGUAACGGGGCUCAAGCCAUGAGCCGAAGUCUAGGAUGCGAUUUAUCGCAUGGUAGCAGAGCGUAGUGUGACAUAAUUCCAUGUCUCCUUACCUUCUUCGGAAGGAUUGGAGACGCGGAGUUUUCUGUGAAGCCGGCCUGUGAGGGAUCCGGUGGAGAGAUCACUAGUGAGAAUGAUGACAUGAGUAGCGACAAAGGGAGUGAGAGACUCCCUCGCCGAAAGUCCAAGGGUUCCUGCUUAAAGCUAAUCUGAGCAGGGUAAGCCGACCCCUAAGGCGAGGCCGAAAGGCGUAGUCGAUGGGAACCAGGUUAAUAUUCCUGGGCCAUGGAGUGGUGACGGAUCUGAGACGUAGUUCAUCCUUAUCGGAUUGAAUGGGCUGCUAACAGGUUCCUGGAAAUAGCCCUCCUAUAAGAUCGUACCCUAAACCGACACAGGUGGACUGGUAGAGAAUACCAAGGCGCUUGAGAGAACCACAUUUAAGGAACUCGGCAAAAUACCUCCGUAAGUUCGCGAGAAGGAGGCCCGUUCAGAACGCAAGUUUUGGGCGGGGGCACAAACCAGGGGGUGGCGACUGUUUACUAAAAACACAGGGCUCUGCGAAGUCGUAAGACGACGUAUAGGGUCUGACGCCUGCCCGGUGCCUGAAGGUUAAAAGGAGGAGUGCAAGCUCCGAAUUGAAGCCCAGGUAAACGGCGGCCGUAACUAUAACGGUCCUAAGGUAGCGAAAUUCCUUGUCGGGUAAGUUCCGACCUGCACGAAUGGCGUAACGACUUCCCCGCUGUCUCAAAUGUGGACUCAGCGAAAUUGAAUUUCCUGUCAAGAUGCAGGAUACCCGCGGUUAGACGGAAAGACCCCAUGCACCUUUACUAUAGCUUCGCAUUGGCAUCAGGCACAGUAUGUGCAGGAUAGGUGGUAGGCUUUGAAGCGG